RNAcentral lists this small nuclear RNA (99 nucleotides) under Suricata suricatta (meerkat). Lineage: Eukaryota; Metazoa; Chordata; Mammalia; Carnivora; Herpestidae. The record is from RNAcentral.
GUGCUGGCUUGGGCAGCACAUAUACUAAAAUUGGAACAAUACAGAGAAGAUUAGCAUGAACGCUGCUGAAGGAUGACACACAAAUAGUUAUACUCUCUG